CCCUUAGAUGUUCUGGGCCGCACACGCGCUACACUGAAGGAGGCAGCGUGUACUCCUGGAUCGAAAGAUUUGGGUAACCCGCGAAUCUCCUUCGUGCUAGGGAUUGAGGUUUGCAAUUAUCCUUCAUGAACGAGGAAUUCCCAGUAAGUGCAAGUCAUAAGCUUGCGCUGACUACGUCCCUGCCCUUUGUACACACCGCCCGUCGCUACUACCGAUUGAAUGAUUUAGUGAGGACUUCGGACUGGGACCGAUGCGGCUUUCGGGCUGCGUCGGUAUUCUGGAAAGAUGUCCAAACUGUAUCAUUUAGAGGAAGUAAAAGUCGUAAUA
RNAcentral lists this ribosomal RNA (327 nucleotides) under uncultured eukaryote. RNAcentral's name for it is "partial 18S ribosomal RNA". It matches the Rfam family "Eukaryotic small subunit ribosomal RNA", at positions 1470 to 1796 of the family's 1831-position model. The record is from RNAcentral.